Molecule: ribosomal RNA, 420 nt
Filed under: bacterium
Lineage: Bacteria
Also listed under: 1 other name
Description: partial 16S ribosomal RNA
Rfam family: Bacterial small subunit ribosomal RNA
Source: RNAcentral
UGGGGGAUAUUGCACAAUGGGCGAAAGCCUGAUGCAGCGACGCCGCGUGGGGGAUGAAGGCUUUCGGGUUGUAAACCUCUUUCGCUAUCGAACAAGGCCCGCUUAGGGUGGGUUGAGGGUAGGUGGAGAAGAAGCGCCGGCUAACUACGUGCCAGCAGCCGCGGUAAUACGUAGGGCGCGAGCGUUGGCCGGAAUUAUUGGGCGUAAAGGGCUUGUAGGCGGCUUGUUGCGCCUGCUGUGAAAACGCGGGGCUUAACUUCGCGCGUGCAGUGGGUACGGGCAGGCUUGAGUGUGGUAGGGGUGACUGGAAUUCCAGGUGUAGCGGUGGAAUGCGCAGAUAUCUGGAGGAACACCGAUGGCGAAGGCAGGUCACUGGGCCAUUACUGACGCUGAGGAGCGAAAGCAUGGGUAGCGAACAGG